This 444-nucleotide ribosomal RNA is filed under the name uncultured bacterium. Its description in RNAcentral is "bacterial SSU rRNA". It matches the Rfam family "Bacterial small subunit ribosomal RNA", at positions 331 to 792 of the family's 1533-position model. The record is from RNAcentral.
CCAGACUCCUACGGGAGGCAGCAGUGGGGAAUAUUGCACAAUGGGCGAAAGCCUGAUGCAGCAACGCCGCGUGAAGGAAGAAGGUCUUCGGAUCGUAAACUUCUGUCCUUGGGGAAGAUAAUGACGGUACCCUUGGAGGAAGCCCCGGCUAACUCCGUGCCAGCAGCCGCGGUAAUACGGAGGGUGCAAGCGUUACUCGGAAUCACUGGGCGUAAAGAGCGCGUAGGCGGGAUAGCAAGUCAGAUGUGAAAUCCUAUGGCUUAACCAUAGAACUGCAUUUGAAACUGUUAUUCUAGAGUAUGGGAGAGGUAGGUGGAAUUCUUGGUGUAGGGGUAAAAUCCGUAGAGAUCAAGAGGAAUACUCAUUGCGAAGGCGACCUGCUAGAACAUAACUGACGCUGAUGCACGAAAGCGUGGGGAGCAAACAGGAUUAGAUACCCUCGUA